AGGUCAGGCAUUCAGGCAAACAGACUAGAGCAGGUAAGACAGAUAAUCAGAGUCGAGGAUAAAACAGAACCAGAACCAGAAUAAUGCAGCAAUAGGCAGGAGUAGUAACAACUAGAACAACUGAGCGUUUAUUCGCAAAGGAGUGUACAUUUGUUUUCUCAUUCCAGCAGGAGAUAUCAGACUCUUCAGGACUGAGCUGUGUGUUUGUGCAAACUUUACUAAUAUUCAACGAUGGAGACUCCUGAUCUGGACACAGAUAAUGUUUCCCCACACUCAAAAACCAGUAAACUCCAGGGAGAGAGAUCAGAAUCACCAGCACCCAGCUGUAUCUCCAUGAAGAGUGAUGGGUCUAUGGGCACUCCUCUGGAGUUUAAAGAUGGAGACUCCUCACUUCUACACAGGUAACAUCUCCUCACUGUUAAUGUCACUGCUAAAGUCACAGUUAAAGGGAAAUUCCAAUAAAAAAAUAAAAUAAUGCAAAGGUAAAUAAUCAUGUAACAUUGCUAGCUAACAUUAUGGUAGCUACGUGUGUUGUUAUUAACUUCAGUUAUGUGUCUCAGUGUAAUUGUGAAAGAUCUACAGUUGCUCUCUGCCUCCUGUUGCUCUUCUUGGUGAAGUUCUCCUUCUGUAUAUUCUGGCUCGAACAUGUAUGGUUGGAUGCCACUGUGUAACAGUAAUAAUAAACUUUAUUUUAUUUUUUAUAAAGCGCCUUUAAAAGCAGCUUCUCAAAGUGCUGUACACAAAAUAAGUAGUACACAGAAAAAUAAAACAUAUAAGUUAAUAAG
Long non-coding RNA from Ictalurus punctatus (channel catfish), 785 nucleotides. RefSeq lists it as uncharacterized. NCBI's taxonomy places the organism in Eukaryota, Metazoa, Chordata, Actinopteri, Siluriformes, Ictaluridae. The transcript is spliced from 3 exons. The record is from RefSeq and is a predicted model, not a curated record.